Molecule: ribosomal RNA, 475 nt
Filed under: uncultured bacterium
Lineage: Bacteria
Description: bacterial SSU rRNA
Rfam family: Bacterial small subunit ribosomal RNA
Source: RNAcentral
AGAGUUUGAUCAUGGCUCAGAUUGAACGCUGGCGGCAUGCUUAAUACAUGCAAGUCGAACGGUAACAGAUUCUUCGGAAUGCUGACGAGUGGCGGACGGGUGAGUAAUACAUAGGAAUCUGCCCAUGUAGUGGGGGACAACUUGGGGAAACUCAAGCUAAUACCGCAUAAUUCCUACGGGAUAAAGAGGGCCACUGCUUGCAAGCUCUUGCUACUGGAUGAGCCUAUGUCGGAUUAGUUAGUUGGUAAGGUAAUGGCUUACCAAGACAGCGAUCCGUAGCUGGUUUGAGAGGAUGAUCAGCCACACUGGGACUGAGACACGGCCCAGACUCCUACGGGAGGCAGCAGUAGGGAGUAUUGGACAAUGGGCGCAAGCCUGAUCCAGCAAUGCCGCGUGUGUGAAGAAGGCCUGCGGGUUGUAAAGCACUUUCAAUUGGGAAGAAAGAUUAUGAGUUAAUACCUUAUAAUAUUGACGU